RNAcentral lists this ribosomal RNA (254 nucleotides) under uncultured bacterium. RNAcentral's name for it is "partial 16S ribosomal RNA". It matches the Rfam family "Bacterial small subunit ribosomal RNA", at positions 524 to 776 of the family's 1533-position model. The record is from RNAcentral.
UACGUAGGUGGCAAGCGUUGUUCGGAAUUAUUGGGCGUAAAGGGCGCGUAGGCGGUCGUGACAAGUCACUUGUGAAAUCUCCGGGCUUAACUCGGAAAGGUCAAGUGAUACUGUCGGACUAGAGUACAGAAGGGGCAACUGGAAUUCUCGGUGUAGCGGUGAAAUGCGUAGAUAUCGAGAGGAACACCUGCGGCGAAGGCGGGUUGCUGGGCUGAUACUGACGCUGAGGCGCGAAAGCUAGGGGAGCGAACGGG